CUAAGCUCUCCAUAGAGCAGCAAUCUGAAAAAUGUUGGCUUGCUGAUUUCAACAAAUUAGGACUGGGGAAGAUUAAGAAAAUGGAGUCUUCCAAUUUCAAAAGUCUCUGCAUUUGCCAUAGAAGCUGGGGCUUGUUUGUUCCUUCCCUUUCAGCCCAUGCAGUGGGAUGUAAGGAGAGGGAGGGGACCAUUGAGAUUCUUUGAUUUCUAGGCUGUUGGGGGCAAGGAAUCUGAAAAUCCUGGACACUCCUUCCCUAGAGGACUGCCAGGAUCUGUUGGGCUCCUAAUAUUCCUGACUUUGAAAAAUCUGCUAAAGAGGCCGACUGCAGGCGAAGACAUUGGAAGUCUGUCUGUUGAAGUUACAAGAAUCCUAAGGAAUCAAUCAGCAGGAAUUCAAGCAGGAUCCCAAUGGAGAAGUGUCCCUUGACUUUGAUUUAAAAUGUAUUAGUUAAAAGUUAACUAGCAACUACAACAGUAGGUGAAGGAAAGCAAGCAGUCUGUGUAACAGGAGCUGAACAUCCCAAGGAAUGCUGGUUGCAGAGUCAGAUGCAGCUAAUACGAGUUUUCUCAUGGAAUUUCUGCGUCUUAGUGUCUCACAGUGACAUCACAUGUCUACCAGCUUAAAACUAAACUGAUCCCCUUUCUUAGUUUUUCAGCUACAGCUUGUCCUGAUCUUCUUAUUCCUAAGCUCUGAAAUGCUUUCAGAGUCAGCUGACAGUUGUCCACAGAGCACACUGAUCAAGCAGCUGAAGACUGAUCUAAAUCAUGAUGUGUCUGAACUGAACUCCAGUGUUGGCCCAAGCCCUCUUUUCCAGACACUUUGGACAUAGAUAGAAGUUACUGACAAAAAGCAGGCAUUUUAGAUGGAAAAAAAAACCUGUUCAGAAAGCAGGCUGUGUUACCUACCAUGCUAAAACAGUGUUCACAAGCAGUGGAUAAACACCAGAUAAACAGAGGAACAGCGAGGUGGAGUAGAAAACUGGAAACAUGGGAAAGAGUAAAGGCAAAAAGGCUCAGCCUGGACAAGGAUUGCUCUGUUCAGCUUGGAGUGCCAUGAUGGAACGAUUCACUCUCUUGUGCCACCAGCCCAGUUUUGUGUGGAUUCCUACUGAUUCUUCCAACCUGUGGCAAGUGACCAUUUGCUCACUUGCCAUGGGCAUUAACAUUAUGGCAGUAAUUGUAAGUGGCUCUGUUUUGUGUACUGACUUGCUACAUCACAUUUGCAAGUAAAGACCAGCCUGAAGAGUACUUGCCAGAAAAACUCUGCACCUGUUCUCAGAUCUUUGGCAGCAAACCAGUAAAGAAAUCCAGGCCAGUUAACACUGGCCAAAGAAGUGGGCUGAAAGUUCGAAGUGGAAGGGUUUUAUAGCUGAGAGCUCCAGUAGCUGCCUGAGCACUUGUACUAAUGACUUGGCUGUACAGGUGAAGCCAGCAGGAUGCAGGACAAAAAUAUGGGGGUCAGAAGGCCAGAAUCAGAGGCUGUGCUAUGGGGAGCCAGUGGGAAAAACAGGGAAAUCUUUUUUAUAAAAUGCACAGAGAAAGAAACUGGGCAUUAAGCUGUGCUUUAAAUGGCAAAGGCAUCUUACAUGCAGGCCUCUUCUUGGAAAAGAGACAUGGAGAGUGGCAUGGUAGUGUAGGACUGACAGAGCUAUCAUAAGAGGGUGAGGAUUUCAUCUUCUAGAAGUAGCUUAUGUCAGUUGUCUGAGCACACAGGCCAAGUGGGUAGGACCCAGAGCCACAGGAUCAAGGACUUCUCUCUGAACUCAGUGUCCUGCAUUUGGCACUGGAGCUGUGACCUAGCAGCAGACAGCAAGUAAGAGUCUCCCACCACCCUGCCACCCCACUCAGCUGUUUAUCUCUCCCAUGCACCCCUUCACCUCUCUCCUUUUCCCAGAUUUCCCUUGUGCCAGAUGCCACAGCUGACAUCCUCUGGGAACAGCAGUCUACUGCAUGCCUGCAAGCUACAGGGAGGAGACUGCUGUGUCCCAGGCAGAUGGGUAGAAGAACUGGAUCUUGAGAGGGUUGUCUCCUGCCUAGGGCAGGAAGCAGCAGCUCUUGCCUGCUUUGCUGCUUUUGGUGCCAUGAAGCUUCAGUUUGGGUUACCCAUGGACACACAUAGGUGGAGUCACUCAGUAUACUGAAAUCCAUUGGGAGGGUGAACGGACAAGUGGGGAAUUUGAGUUCCCUAUGACACUGUAAUUAAAUGGAAAGAAGAGAACAAUUGGUGGGGUGAAACCUGAGGUUUAAUGUUGUUCUUGACCUGAUUAAAACCCCAAGUUGCUCAGGACACAUUUCCUGUAAUUUUUCAAACCCUUUCCCUUUUCUCUUUCCACUGUUUUGUUUGCAAUGCUCUUCAAGUGUGUGUGCUUUGACCUAUUUGUUGUCCUGCAUAUACCUAAUGAAGCACAAAAAUGCCUAGUGCCUAUCAGAUAAUGUAUUUCUUUACGGGUUUGUAGAUGGUCACAUAUAAACACAUGCAUUAAAGGCUUCACUUUGGUUGGAAAAUAGCACUUCCUAAUGUGCUCAGCACCCCACAUUGCAUUUUACUGGAGUAAAAAUAAAGGGAGGCUGUCUCAGCCUACCUGGGUUACU
This 2591-nucleotide long non-coding RNA is filed under the name Parus major (Great Tit). RNAcentral describes it as "lncRNA (ENSPMJG00000011128.1)". Lineage: Eukaryota; Metazoa; Chordata; Aves; Passeriformes; Paridae. The record is from RNAcentral.